AGGGGAAUCGUGUAAUGGCAGCACAAAUGAUUCUGGUUCAUUUAGUUGGGGUUCGAGUCCCUAUUCCCCUGCUA
This 74-nucleotide transfer RNA is filed under the name Planctomycetaceae bacterium. Its description in RNAcentral is "tRNA-Gln". It matches the Rfam family "tRNA". Rfam says of the family: Transfer RNA (tRNA) molecules are approximately 80 nucleotides in length. Their secondary structure includes four short double-helical elements and three loops (D, anti-codon, and T loops). Further hydrogen bonds mediate the characteristic L-shaped molecular structure. tRNAs have two regions of fundamental functional importance: the anti-codon, which is responsible for specific mRNA codon recognition, and the 3' end, to which the tRNAs corresponding amino acid is attached (by aminoacyl-tRNA synthetases). tRNAs cope with the degeneracy of the genetic code in two manners: having more than one tRNA (with a specific anti-codon) for a particular amino acid; and 'wobble' base-pairing, i.e. permitting non-standard base-pairing at the 3rd anti-codon position. The record is from RNAcentral. Lineage: Bacteria; Pseudomonadati; Planctomycetota; Planctomycetia; Planctomycetales; Planctomycetaceae.